AUUAUUAUGAGAUAAAUACAUAAUAUAUAUAUUAUAGAGACAUAAUACAUAUUAUUGAUAAUUAAGAUCUGCAAGCAGAUCCAAUAUAUGCACUGUACGGUUAUUUUAUUUUUAAUUUGUUCUUUUCACUGUAACCUAAUUACAAAAAUAAGCCAAAUUUUUUCGUAUUUUUCAAUCUAAUCCAAAUAUUUAAAUUUUGAAAUAAUUAGUUAAAUUUUCAAAUUUUGUAAAUAUUUUAUCCAAAUUUUUCAUAAUGGUGAAAAAUUGUUAUCAUUUUAUCUAUUUUUUUUCUACAUAUUAUUUUCACUUUGUUUUCCGGCUGAUCUAACCUUACCAUUAUCAUCAAUAAUUUUCAAAUUUCAUUUAGAUAUCUAUGAUGUAUCAAAAUUCUUAAUCCUUUGGUGAAUUUGGUUUCUUUGUCAUAAAUUCUCUCUCUUCGUUACCACCAAAUCUUAUCAUUAUGUGAUACUCAAUGGUUAUGAAAAUGAAAUUAUAAAAGAACCGGUGAAUGUGGUAAAGUUGGAUAGUUAUAAACAAGUGAAAAAAUGAAUUCAAUAUUCAAUUUAUAAAAAUUGGAUAAAAUUUUAACAAUUUAUAUAAAUUUAGCUAAUUUUAUCAAAUUUAAGCAUUUGGAUUAAAUUGUCAAGACGUGAAAAGAUUUGAAAUUUUUCUUUAAUUAGGUUUCUCAUUAUUAGAUUAUAACUUAUUAAUUCAUUUAAUGCUAGUUAUUAGCACAGUAAAAUUUAUUUUAUAAAAACUAAAAUUAAGAUAAAAACUCCGUUUAUUGAUCGGCUCAAAUUGCAUUUUAAACAAUGAUGCGCUUCUCCUGAG
This 831-nucleotide unclassified non-coding RNA is filed under the name Hevea brasiliensis (rubber tree). The record is from RNAcentral. Lineage: Eukaryota; Viridiplantae; Streptophyta; Magnoliopsida; Malpighiales; Euphorbiaceae.